RNAcentral lists this ribosomal RNA (658 nucleotides) under Bacillus subtilis. Its description in RNAcentral is "bacterial SSU rRNA". It matches the Rfam family "Bacterial small subunit ribosomal RNA", at positions 79 to 719 of the family's 1533-position model. The record is from RNAcentral. Lineage: Bacteria; Bacillati; Bacillota; Bacilli; Caryophanales; Bacillaceae.
CUUGCUCCCUGAUGUUAGCGGCGGACGGGUGAGUAACACGUGGGUAACCUGCCUGUAAGACUGGGAUAACUCCGGGAAACCGGGGCUAAUACCGGAUGCUUGUUUGAACCGCAUGGUUCAAACAUAAAAGGUGGCUUCGGCUACCACUUACAGAUGGACCCGCGGCGCAUUAGCUAGUUGGUGAGGUAAUGGCUCACCAAGGCAACGAUGCGUAGCCGACCUGAGAGGGUGAUCGGCCACACUGGGACUGAGACACGGCCCAGACUCCUACGGGAGGCAGCAGUAGGGAAUCUUCCGCAAUGGACGAAAGUCUGACGGAGCAACGCCGCGUGAGUGAUGAAGGUUUUCGGAUCGUAAAGCUCUGUUGUUAGGGAAGAACAAGUACCGUUCGAAUAGGGCGGUACCUUGACGGUACCUAACCAGAAAGCCACGGCUAACUACGUGCCAGCAGCCGCGGUAAUACGUAGGUGGCAAGCGUUGUCCGGAAUUAUUGGGCGUAAAGGGCUCGCAGGCGGUUUCUUAAGUCUGAUGUGAAAGCCCCCGGCUCAACCGGGGAGGGUCAUUGGAAACUGGGGGAACUUGAGUGCAGAAGAGGAGAGUGGAAUUCCACGUGUAGCGGUGAAAUGCGUAGAGAUGUGGAGGGAACACCAGUGGCGAA